UGGGGAAUUUUGGACAAUGGGCGAAAGCCUGACCCAGCAACGCCGCGUGAAGGAUGAAGUAUUUCGGUAUGUAAACUUCGAAAGAAUAGGAAGAAUAAAUGACGGUACUAUUUAUAAGGUCCGGCUAACUACGUGCCAGCAGCCGCGGUAAUACGUAGGGACCAAGCGUUGUUCGGAUUUACUGGGCGUAAAGGGCGCGUAGGCGGCAAUUCAAGUCAUCUGUGAAAUCUCCGGGCUUAACUCGGAACGGUCAGAUGAUACUGCUUUGCUAGAGUGCAGAAGGGGCAAUCGGAAUUCUUUGUGUAGCGGUGAAAUGCGUAGAUAUCAAGAGGAACACCUGAGGCGAAGGCGGGUUGCUGGGCUGAUACUGACGCUGAGGCGCGAAAGCUAGGGUAGCAAACGGGAUUAGAUACCCCUGUAGUCCCUGAGCGGGCUGGCAAGGCGCAU
RNAcentral lists this ribosomal RNA (447 nucleotides) under uncultured bacterium. RNAcentral describes it as "bacterial SSU rRNA". It matches the Rfam family "Bacterial small subunit ribosomal RNA", at positions 355 to 825 of the family's 1533-position model. The record is from RNAcentral.